GUUCCCCACGCAUUGAAUGCCACACAUCUUGCUGAGCCCCUUUCUAAGACCUCCUCGACAGCUUCUGGAAGUUGAACGCUCUGAAAGGGAUCUGUGACCGCGGACAUGAAUUUAGCUCACGAGCAAGAAGUAAGCAAUUUGAAAGGUGGUAAAAGAAUUUUGCACAAUGUGAUAGUCCAGCAUAACGAAAGAAUGCAGGAAUGGCAUAAUGCCAAAUCCGAGGUUAUUGGAUUGGUGAUGGCGACACAAAGAUUGCGCAACACAUGAUUUGACUGGAUUUGAUGACAUCAUAACAGACUACUAUGAAUUAUGUAUUACCUAGGAGUCUCCUAUUCAUGCUGGAACGUUUGUUGAGCAGUGAUGGAACGUCGGCAACACCGGACUUUUUUGCCUGAGGCAAUCCGCAAUAGUUAUUCUGUAAUGGUUCUCGAAACCUCUUAUUCAAGCAAUUCUCAUUUGUGAAAGAUGGUCGGAAA
This 476-nucleotide long non-coding RNA is filed under the name Coccomyxa subellipsoidea. RNAcentral's name for it is "long non-coding RNA (CSUB_LNC000616)". Lineage: Eukaryota; Viridiplantae; Chlorophyta; Trebouxiophyceae; Coccomyxaceae. The record is from RNAcentral.